GAUCAUUAUUGAAUAAACUUGAUGUGGU
RNAcentral lists this ribosomal RNA (28 nucleotides) under Gymnopilus penetrans. Its description in RNAcentral is "partial 18S ribosomal RNA". The record is from RNAcentral. Lineage: Eukaryota; Fungi; Basidiomycota; Agaricomycetes; Agaricales; Galerinaceae.